UGGAACUUGAUUCUCUUGGUAUCUGCC
RNAcentral lists this non-coding RNA (27 nucleotides) under Rattus norvegicus (Norway rat). The record is from RNAcentral. Lineage: Eukaryota; Metazoa; Chordata; Mammalia; Rodentia; Muridae.